AUUGAACGCUGGCGGCAUGCUUUACACAUGCAAGUCGAACGGUAACAGGCCGCAAGGUGCUGACGAGUGGCGAACGGGUGAGUAAUGCAUCGGAACGUGCCCAGUCGUGGGGGAUAGCGCAGCGAAAGCUGCGCUAAUACCGCAUACGAUCUAUGGAUGAAAGCGGGGGACCGUAAGGCCUCGCGCGAUUGGAGCGGCCGAUGUCAGAUUAGGUAGUUGGUGGGGUAAAGGCUCACCAAGCCAACGAUCUGUAGCUGGUCUGAGAGGACGACCAGCCACACUGGGACUGAGACACGGCCCAGACUCCUACGGGAGGCAGCAGUGGGGAAUUUUGGACAAUGGGCGCAAGCCUGAUCCAGCAAUGCCGCGUGCAGGAAGAAGGCCUUCGGUUGUAAACUGCUUUGUACGGUAACGAAAAGGGACUCUGGUUAAUACCUGGGGCGACAUGACGGUACCGUAAGAAUAAGCACCGGCUAACUACGUGCCAGCAGCCGACGG
RNAcentral lists this ribosomal RNA (498 nucleotides) under uncultured bacterium. RNAcentral describes it as "bacterial SSU rRNA". It matches the Rfam family "Bacterial small subunit ribosomal RNA", at positions 29 to 520 of the family's 1533-position model. The record is from RNAcentral.